Sciurus carolinensis (gray squirrel) is the source of this 517-nucleotide non-coding RNA. The record is from the annotation of a RefSeq genome assembly. NCBI's taxonomy places the organism in Eukaryota, Metazoa, Chordata, Mammalia, Rodentia, Sciuridae.
AAUGUCAAGGAAGUGUCUCUUGGUAACAGACUCUAGACUUUGUCUGAGCAGGGAAGAUCUUCCAGGAUCAAGCUCUCAGCCUCCUCGCUGUCUAGUCAUGCUCUUGGUGACCAUUCUACUACUUGGACUGCCUUUCACACUGAAGGAAAGCGGAGCCCAGACAGUGACCCAGCCUGACCUCCAUGUCACUGUCUCUGAAGGAGUCCAGCUGGAGCUGAGGUGCAAUGGUUCCUAUGCUGCAACACUUUAUUUCUUCUGGUACGUCCAAUACCCGGGCCAAAACCUUGAGCUUCUCCUCAAAUACGUGGCAGGGGACACCGUGGUUAAAGGAAUCAAAGGCUUUGAGGCUGAGUUUAGGAAGAGUGAAUCGUCUUUCAACCUGAGGAAGCCCUCAGCCCACUGGAGCGACUCCGCUGUGUACUUCUGUGCUGUGAAUGGCACAGUGCCUGGGGCUGCAGGGGGAGCUGAGCACAAACCUCUUGAGAUGGAACCUUCUGUGGCCCAGAGCACAGCCUGA